UCCAACUCUUCCCCUUCUACAACUCCGUCGUCUUCGCGUGACGGCGAGGAUUCACGAUAUUUUUGUAUCCCCCGUCGCGAGCCCGAUGACGAACAGAUUUACGGAGGAGGAGGAAUGGAAACGAUGCGAGCAAGAGGUUGUGGAGGCGUCCACCAACACCGUACCUACCCUUCGAGCAGUGAAUGAAUGAAUCUCUUCGUUCGAUAAUCCAAUGAUAUAAUUUGCAAUCAAAUAUUUGUAUUCGAUUACUUUAUAUAAAUAGUUGUUAUUCUCGUGAUCUUUGAAUUUUUUUUCCUUUUUCUCGUGAGGUGAGAAUAUCGGUGGUAAUUGGAAAUGAUCGCAUAGGUUAUUCUAUAAAUAAACAAGUUCUUUGUUGAACGUGAAAAUCGAUAAUUGAAAGUGUAUAUAAUUACCUUUGUGGGAUGAAUUACGAGGUUCAGGUGUAUCUUUUUGAUAAGAUUAGAAUUGUGCAAUUAGAUUAGAUUCUUGAGGAGAAUUGUGAAUGCACGAAGUGGUUAUUCUUCGGUUUUUCUUUUUUAUUAAGAAUGAAGAUGUGAUUGUAAGUGUUUUUAAUUGUUUUUAAUCAGGUUAUUAAGUAAAGAUUUGAUUAUGUGCACGUGGCAAACUUCCUGUUCAUAUAGCUGAUUAUUUGACUGUUCUAUAGUUCUAUAGUAUAGGCAUUCUGCAACCAGGGGCACGACCAUUAGGAGGAUUCAGUCGGCCAUCAAGGGGAUUUGUUACUUCGAAGUCAAUGGAGAUUCUCCGUCCCCCCGUGGACCUAAUUAGCACGUGAAGCAUCUGCGCCUGAUUUGCAUUAUUGAACAAUAAUUCUACUCACCAUCGAAAUUCCCAAUAUCCGUCCAACCAAGGAAUAUAUCUUCCAAUACAGGUAUUUGUCCUCCUCAUACGAUAUUCUUGGUUUCGAAAGUUUUUCAAAUCGAAAUAUGAAUAUUUUCGAUUAAUUGGAAAUUUUAUUUUAUGUAAAAAAACAUAGGUAAAUUUUUAAAUAGAAAUUUCUAAAAUGUCGAGCGAUACGAAGGGAUCGAUGAUGAGAAGAGGUGAUAAUACAAACGUCUGAAAUGAAAUUAGAAGAAUCGUUAAACAAUGAAAUUAAAGUAUUAUCAUCAUUUAUUUAUUUUUCACUGAUCAUGACAAAGUAAUAAUCACAUAAAGCUGUUAAAAGUAAAAUCCCCGUUAUCACUAAAUCGUUUACUGUAUUUACAAGUAUAAUUAUUAGUUGGCGCAUUCGUCGAAUGCUCGCAUACGACGCGCUCAUCGUUUCCAUUUUUUUAUUUUUUUAUUUUUUUUAUUCAUUCGCUUGUUUCUCCUCUCUCUCUCUCUCUCUCUCUCUCUCUCUCUCUCUCUCUCUCUCUCCAUUCUUCGACCAACGAUAAAUAUAUAUAUAAUAUAUAUAAUUUUUUCUUUUUCCUUUUACACCAUUUUUCCUUUUUUUUUCUUUUUUUUCCUUUUUUCUCUUUUUAUUCAUUUGUUUUAUUCCUCCUUUUCCCCGGCGUGUCUCUAUCUAUCGCUCUGCUUACAAAAAUUAGGUAAGUAAAGCUAAAAAAAUUGUCUCUAUUUUCUCUUCUUCUCUAUCUUUCUCUCGAUUUUCUUUUUUUUUUCGACAAAAGCGCACGUAGAAAUUCUCGCCCUUUAUCUCUUUUUGUUUCUUCUUUUUCACACUAUAUAUAUAUAUUUAUAUAUACCUCUUUCUCUCUCUUUCUCUUUCUCAUAUACUUUUUCUCCCUCAUUUACUCUCUCUCUUUCUCUCUCUCUCGCUCUCUCUCUAAUCCCUUUCUCUGGCGUAAGAAACGAUAUAAUUGGUACCCGAAACCCCGUUUAAUGAAAAUCCUUCAAAUAAAAUACUCUAGUUAACAAUAAAUUAUUAAAUAUCUAUUCACAAAUAUAUGCAUAGGCUAAUUAUCGUUUUUUUUUUUAUUACUAUCUUCAUCACCGUCAAUCUAUCGUCCUCAUCGAUCAUCGUCGCCGUCGUCGCCAUUGAUCGGGGUAUAAUUCUCCCCACGUUUUACAAUUUCCGGCUUACAACGGUUCUCCCUUCUUCUUUUCUCCCUUUAUUUCAAUUCUUUUACUUUUUCUUUACCUCCCUCUCGCUCUCUCUCUCUCUUUGCUACUAAGUAUAUCAACAGCAAAAUAGAAUUGUUUUGUUCGCAAUUGGUUUUUUUCCUUUUUUUUUCUUUUUUUUUCUUCUUUUUCUUGAGAAACGGAGGAAAACGAAGAUUCUGCUCGUCCAAUUCCGAGUGAGCUGGUUCACGCGCUAGAAGACACUGAAGUUUAAGUGGUUCGUCCAUCGUUACCGAGUCGUAGAAACGAUUUUCCCUCUUUGGAAAAAAUUGGAUUUCGGCGAUAUUCGUUGUUUUCUUUUAAAAAUAAAAAAAGAA
Apis mellifera (honey bee) is the source of this 2396-nucleotide long non-coding RNA. RefSeq lists it as uncharacterized. The transcript is spliced from 2 exons. Lineage: Eukaryota; Metazoa; Arthropoda; Insecta; Hymenoptera; Apidae. The record is from RefSeq and is a predicted model, not a curated record.